AGGAAGGAAAGCUUGCUUUUCUGAAUCUAGUGGCGAACGGGUGAGUAACACGUAGGUAACCUGCCCAUGUGCCCGGGAUAACUUCUGGAAACGGAUGCUAAUACCGCAUAAGCUAGUAGUACCGCAUGGUACAGCUAGAAAAGGAGAAAUCCGCUAAUAGAUGGUCUUGCGUCCGAUUAGCUAGUUGGUGGGGUAACGGCCUACCAAGGCAACGAUCGGUAGCCGAGCUGAGAGGCUCAACGGCCACAUUGGGACUGAGAUACGGCCCAGACUCC
Molecule: ribosomal RNA, 275 nt
Filed under: uncultured Eubacteriales bacterium
Lineage: Bacteria; Bacillati; Bacillota; Clostridia; Eubacteriales
Description: uncultured Clostridiales bacterium partial 16S ribosomal RNA
Rfam family: Bacterial small subunit ribosomal RNA
Source: RNAcentral